Long non-coding RNA from Jatropha curcas, 558 nucleotides. RefSeq lists it as uncharacterized. NCBI's taxonomy places the organism in Eukaryota, Viridiplantae, Streptophyta, Magnoliopsida, Malpighiales, Euphorbiaceae. The record is from RefSeq and is a predicted model, not a curated record.
UAGCCACCCACGCAUAUUUUCUUUCUACAGCAUUUUCUUAUUCUUUGCUUGAUUCUCUAUCAAACUCGUUGAAGAACUAAAUUUUGACAUCUCAAUACAUUUCUCAUGGAUUAAGAAAGAGAAGUUGGCCAUAAUCUUAGAGUUUCAAGUUUUGGAUAAUGGAGACUGAUUGAUAGCUAUGGAAUUUGAAUUCAAGAACAAGGUGAUGCUUCAAAGAGAGAGAAGGCGAUGAGGUGGAUUGAUUGGAGACUUUGAUAGUUCGAUUGAAGUUUUUAAGUUUAAAAAGUUACGAAAAAUUCGUAACCAAGAAACCCAGGUUAACGGGCUUGCUAUGUAACUUGCUGAGUUUCAAGGUUGGAGAAGCUUGACUGAUACGGCCAUGUCAGGAAACACGAGUUGGCUGCAUAAUAAUAUGUCCCUUGCCAUGAAUCUUUAUGUUUUUGCCUUCUAAAUGAUUCCUACACCUCCAAGAUGUAUACCUAAUGGAUCUUUGAUGUAAUUCUUAAAACCUCUUGAAAAAGAGUUUAAAUCGCUUAAGAAACAUGACUUUUAAUUCAA